This is a long non-coding RNA of Apis mellifera (honey bee), 292 nucleotides long. RefSeq lists it as uncharacterized. The transcript is spliced from 2 exons. The record is from RefSeq and is a predicted model, not a curated record. Lineage: Eukaryota; Metazoa; Arthropoda; Insecta; Hymenoptera; Apidae.
GAGGGGUGAGGAAGAAGAGGUAGAAACUGCUUAAGGAGGCCACGGAAUCUGCAGACGUCGUCUCACCAUCAACCAGUUUUCUCAUACGGUCGACAUAUGAUAUUAUUUAAAAUUAACGAAAUAAAAUGAUUAUUCAGAAUGUAAAAAGCUAAAUCAAUUUAUUUUCAUGGCAUUAUCAAACCAAUGACUUGACUCUAGUGAUUGUAAUCUGAUCGGGGUCGAUUUCAUGGUAAGGUAAGUAACGCGUACAAAAUGCACACGUAUCAUAAAGCUAACACAUUCGUGAAGUAUA